This 432-nucleotide unclassified non-coding RNA is filed under the name soil metagenome. RNAcentral describes it as "partial contains 5.8S ribosomal RNA, internal transcribed spacer 2, and large subunit ribosomal RNA". The stretch from base 1 to 120 matches the Rfam family "5.8S ribosomal RNA", at positions 35 to 154 of the family's 154-position model. The record is from RNAcentral.
GAUGAAGAACGUAGCGAAAUGCGAUACGUAAUGUGAAUUGCAGAAUUCAGUGAAUCAUCGAAUCUUUGAACGCAUAUUGCGCUCUCUGGUAUUCCGGAGAGCAUGCUUGUUUGAGUAUCAGUAAACACCUCAACUUCCAUAUCUUUUUUGAAAUGGGAGUUGGACUUGAGUGAUCCCAACGCUUUUCCUCACCGAAAAGUGGCGGGUUACUUGAAAUGCAGGUGCAGCUGGACUUUUCUCUGAGCUAUAAGCAUAUCUAUUUAGUCUGCCUAAAAAACAGAUUAUUACCUUUGCUGCAGCUAACAUAAAGGAGAUUAGUUCUUGUGCUGACUGAUGCAGGAUUCACAAAAACGGCUUCGGCCGACUUUGUAAACUCGAUCUCAAAUCAAGUAAGACUACCCGCUGAACUUAAGCAUAUCAAUAAGCGGAGGA